RNAcentral lists this long non-coding RNA (215 nucleotides) under Carica papaya (papaya). RNAcentral's name for it is "long non-coding RNA (CPAP_LNC006449)". The record is from RNAcentral. Lineage: Eukaryota; Viridiplantae; Streptophyta; Magnoliopsida; Brassicales; Caricaceae.
UAUCUCAUCUGACUGCAGCAAUUCAAUUGGGGUGGUCAUCAAGGAGUAGAAUUGCCUCCACUUCAUCAACCAGUGAUCAUCGCACUGAACAGAGCACUCAUCGAGCCCUGAUGUUGAUUCUUCGCCAUCGUCCAGGUGGUCAUUCAGUCUCAAAUGAUUCUAGAGUUGCAUUUAGUUUAAAUUCAUUAUAUUCUCAUCUAAUUUUUUACACUUUU